Molecule: RNA transcript, 6566 nt
Organism: Cercocebus atys (sooty mangabey)
Lineage: Eukaryota; Metazoa; Chordata; Mammalia; Primates; Cercopithecidae
Gene: ATP11A
Gene name: ATPase, class VI, type 11A
Exons: 30
Source: RefSeq, a predicted model, not a curated record
UGUGGAGCGGGCAUCCCUGUGUGGAGCGGGCACCCCUGUGCCUGGUGGGCGCACCUGUGCAGAGUGGGCUGUGAGUGAUGGGGGCUCCUCUCUGUGUCGCCACCCCCAGCCUCCCGCCAUCGUCUUCAGCACUGAAUACGCCUCCAUCUGACGGGUUGUGUGUUUCUAUGUCAGAAAAUUAAUGAGGGAUUUUACUCAGAGAUGUUCUGACCAUACAAACUUAAUUGCCCUCUCAGUGGAAUGAACCACACAUUUCUACAAAAAAAAAAAAAAUACCGUAAUGUAGUUUAAUAGCCUGGAGUAGCAGAAGAAUGCCAAGGAUUUACUUUGCAUCACCGAUAACCACAAUGUCCUUGCUUGCCAUCCUAAAAUUGCUAAAGAGAAUGUAGUUGUUGUCAGUGUAGCAUCGGGAAUUUCCAGGAAUGUCAGCCAGGAUGCACCCACCUAGGAGUGGCUUCCGCCUGGCCUGCAGCAGCUGCCGAAGGAGCCAUGUCCUUCAGAGUUUGUGGAAGGACUGGCUGUGUGUUUCAUCACAUGUGCUACAUGGUCUUCACAUCCUGCCCACAGUGUGCAGGAGAAGAGAAUUGGGUGGACAGCAGGACCAUCUACGUGGGACACAGGGAGCCACCUCCGGGCGCAGAGGCCUACAUCCCACAGAGAUACCCAGACAACAGGAUCGUCUCGUCCAAGUACACAUUUUGGAACUUUAUACCCAAGAAUUUAUUUGAACAAUUCAGAAGAGUAGCCAACUUUUAUUUCCUUAUCAUAUUUCUGGUGCAGUUGAUUAUUGAUACACCCACAAGUCCAGUGACAAGUGGACUUCCACUCUUCUUCGUCAUUACUGUCACGGCUAUCAAACAGGGUUAUGAAGACUGGCUUCGACAUAAAGCAGACAAUGCCAUGAACCAGUGUCCUGUUCAUUUCAUUCAGCACGGCAAGCUCGUUCGGAAACAAAGUCGAAAGCUGCGAGUUGGGGACAUUGUCAUGGUCAAGGAGGAUGAGACCUUUCCCUGUGACUUGAUCUUCCUUUCCAGCAACCGGGGAGACGGGACGUGCCACGUCACCACCGCCAGCUUGGACGGAGAAUCCAGCCAUAAAACGCAUUACGCAGUCCAGGACACCAAGGGCUUCCAUACGGAGGAGGAUAUCGGCGGACUUCACGCCACCAUCGAGUGUGAGCAGCCCCAGCCCGACCUCUACAAGUUUGUGGGCCGCAUCAACGUUUACAGUGACCUGAACGAUCCCGUGGUGAGGCCCUUAGGAUCGGAAAACCUGCUACUGAGAGGAGCUACACUGAAGAACACCGAGAAAAUCUUUGGUGUGGCUAUUUACACGGGCAUGGAAACCAAGAUGGCGUUAAAUUACCAAUCGAAAUCCCAGAAGCGGUCUGCCGUGGAAAAAUCGAUGAAUGCGUUCCUCAUCGUGUACCUCUGCAUUCUGAUCAGCAAAGCCCUGAUAAACACUGUGCUGAAAUACGUGUGGCAGAGUGAGCCCUUUCGGGAUGAGCCGUGGUAUAAUCAGAAAACGGAGUCGGAAAGACAGAGGAAUCUGUUCCUCAGGGCGUUCACGGACUUCCUGGCCUUCAUGGUCCUCUUUAACUACAUCAUCCCCGUGUCCAUGUACGUCACAGUCGAGAUGCAGAAGUUCCUCGGCUCUUACUUCAUCACCUGGGACGAGGACAUGUUUGACGAGGAGACUGGCGAGGGGCCUCUGGUGAACACGUCGGACCUCAACGAAGAGCUGGGACAGGUGGAGUACAUCUUCACGGACAAGACCGGCACCCUCACGGAGAACAACAUGGAGUUCAAGGAGUGCUGCAUCGAAGGCCACGUCUACGUGCCCCACGUCAUCUGCAACGGGCAGGUCCUCCCAGAGUCCUCAGGAAUCGACAUGAUUGACUCGUCCCCCAGCGUCAACGGGAGGGAGCGCGAGGAGCUGUUUUUCCGGGCCCUCUGUCUCUGCCACACUGUCCAGGUGAAAGAUGAUGACAGCGUGGACGGCCCCAGGAAGUCUCCAGACGGGGGGAAAUCCUGUGUGUACAUCUCAUCCUCGCCCGACGAGGUGGCGCUGGUCGAAGGUGUCCAGAGACUUGGCUUUACCUACCUGAGGCUGAAGGACAAUUACAUGGAGGUAUUAAACAGGGAGAACCACGUCGAAAGGUUUGAAUUGCUGGAAAUUUUAAGUUUUGACUCAGUUAGAAGGAGAAUGAGUGUAAUUGUAAAAUCCGCUACAGGAGAAAUCUAUCUGUUUUGCAAAGGAGCAGAUUCUUCGAUAUUCCCCCGAGUGAUAGAAGGCAAAGUUGACCAGAUCCGAGCCAGAGUGGAGCGGAACGCAGUGGAGGGGCUCCGAACUUUGUGUGUUGCUUACAAGAGGCUGAUCCAAGAAGAAUAUGAAGGCAUUUGUAAACUGCUGCAGGCUGCCAAAGUGGCCCUUCAAGAUCGAGAGAAAAAGUUAGCAGAAGCCUAUGAGCAAAUAGAGAAAGAUCUGAUUCUGCUUGGUGCCACGGCUGUUGAGGACCGGCUGCAGGAGAAAGCUGCAGACACCAUCGAGGCCCUGCAAAAGGCCGGGAUCAAGGUCUGGGUUCUCACGGGAGACAAGAUGGAGACGGCCGCAGCCACGUGCUAUGCCUGCAAGCUCUUCCGCAGGAACACACAGCUGCUGGAGCUGACCACCAAGAGGAUCGAGGAGCAGAGCCUGCACGACGUCCUGUUCGAGCUGAGCAAGACGGUCCUGCGCCACAGCGGGAGCCUGACCAGAGACAACCUCUCAGGACUCUCAGCAGAUAUGCAGGACUAUGGCUUGAUUAUCGACGGAGCUGCGCUGUCUCUCAUAAUGAAGCCUCGCGAAGACGGGAGUUCCAGCAACUACAGGGAGCUCUUCCUGGAAAUCUGCCGGAGCUGCAGCGCGGUGCUCUGCUGCCGCAUGGCACCCUUGCAGAAGGCCCAGAUUGUUAAAUUAAUCAAAUUUUCAAAAGAGCACCCAAUCACGUUAGCAGUUGGCGACGGCGCAAACGAUGUCAGCAUGAUUCUGGAAGCGCACGUGGGCAUAGGUGUCAUCGGCAAGGAAGGCCGCCAGGCUGCCAGGAACAGCGACUAUGCAAUCCCAAAGUUUAAGCAUUUGAAGAAGAUGCUGCUUGUUCACGGGCAUUUUUAUUACAUUAGGAUAUCUGAGCUCGUGCAGUACUUCUUUUAUAAGAAUGUCUGCUUCAUCUUCCCUCAGUUUUUAUACCAGUUCUUCUGUGGGUUUUCACAACAGACUUUGUACGACACCGCGUAUCUGACCCUCUACAACAUCAGCUUCACCUCCCUCCCCAUCCUCCUGUACAGCCUCAUGGAGCAGCAUAUUGGCAUCGACGUGCUUAAGAGAGACCCGACCCUGUACAGGGACGUCGCCAAGAACGCGCUGCUGCGCUGGCGUGUGUUCAUCUACUGGACGCUCCUGGGACUGUUUGACGCGCUGGUGUUCUUCUUUGGUGCUUACUUCAUGUUUGAAAAUACAACUGUGACGAGCAACGGGCAGAUAUUUGGAAACUGGACAUUUGGGACGCUGGUAUUCACUGUGAUGGUGUUCACAGUCACACUAAAGCUUGCGUUAGACACACACUACUGGACUUGGAUCAACCAUUUUGUCAUCUGGGGGUCGCUGCUGUUCUACGUCGUCUUUUCGCUCCUCUGGGGAGGAGUGAUCUGGCCAUUCCUCAACUACCAGAGGAUGUACUACGUGUUCAUCCAGAUGCUGUCCAGCGGGCCCGCCUGGCUGGCCAUCGUGCUGCUGGUGACCAUCAGCCUCCUGCCCGACGUCCUCAAGAAAGUCCUGUGCCGGCAGCUGUGGCCAACAGCAACGGAGAGAGUCCAGACUAAGAGCCAGUGCCUUUCUGUCGAGCAGUCAACCAUCUUUAUGCUUUCUCAGACUUCCAGCAGCCUGAGUUUCUGAUGGAACAAGGUGAUGCUCCUCUGCCUUCCGCACGCUUGGGAUGGUAGACGCGGGGCAGCAGGGCCAUGCCUGUCACCAGAGCCCCGAGUCCACGCGCUCCGACGCAGUGUCCGCCAGGCGCUGGGCACGGCAGCCCCACGUCAGGAAGCCCCACCACCUUCUUACACCUUCACAUGCACAGACCGAUCGUGAGCUGUGCUUUCCAUCAGUCACAGUUAACCAGGGUUUCUCCCUCAGCGUCCAGGCAGCCUCAGAACCCACCUGUGAGGGUUCAGACACAGCUGACAGCACAGAGCCGGCCACAUGAUCCCUCACACAGGUGUCAGAGAGGUUCCUGUGCAGGAAUCCUAAGCAGGAAGGUAUGAGAGUUUGCAAUUCACAGGUCAUCCAGGCCCUGAGCUCACAUACCCUGCCCUCCGCAGCCUGUAGAGUGUGGAUCCUCCCUCACGCACCCACUUCUGUGCCCAUUCUGCAGCUGGAAAGACUGAUGACAGCUAGGAUAACACGGUUUGCUCAGGACCCACGCACAUUUCAGAAAAGGGGAGCCAGGCUGAGCCACACAACUGGAGACAAAGGGGACAGAAGUGUUUGGUGUCAGAUGUUCGACCAAAUUCUCUUUUUACUGUUUUUUGAAUGAAGACCUCUUUGAAAGCUUUCUGUUAAUAAUAUGCUUUAAAAAUGACGGCCCUGGCCUUUCUGGGCAGCGUAGAGGCAUUCACAUGCCAUUUUCCUGUGGUGGCAUCCGUGGUCAGAGCCGAGAUUGCAGGGGCCUGCAUGCUGUCCUGAAGUCACGUUCUGUCUUCCAGCCGUGUGCUCCGGCACCAAAUCCCGCAUUCACGCAUGCCUCCAAAUUAAUGGUGCUCUGAAAAUGCAUGUUUGGUAUUUUACUGUUUUACCAAAUGCAGCCUAGAAAAAUGCCCAGAGCAGAAAGGGCUUUUUUUCCCUUUAAUGACAUCAUCUUCUAUAUUUUUUAAACACCAUUUUUAACUGACAAAAUGGUCCUUUUUUAAGUCCAAGCAAUUAAUAGGAAUCAAAAUUUUUCUAAUUUAGUGUCAUCAGAAUUUGUUAGAUUAAAUUGCAGAAUUUCAUCUCACCAUUUCUAUACUUGAAAACAUUAGGGAUGAAAUUAUUAGGAACACUUUAAUAACUCCUAGGAGGUCCUUAAGAAACUAAUUAAAUCAUGCCAACUCUAGGCUAAAAAUAUGCAUUCUAACCAUUGAUGUAGUUUGUUGAGAGCUGAUUUGCCUCUGAACAUGUGCAGAAGCUGAGCCCGGCUGCGUAGAGAUGGUGGCCCAGAGGUUCGUUUUCCUGCCGCCUGCGAGGCCUCGGGCCCUGGCGUGACCCCCGCAGGCAGGGCCGGUGUCCGCACCUGAACACAAAGCGCCUGCAGCCAGCACGUGCCCGGCACACACAGGAGCACACCGUGGUGCUGAGACCACCUGCGUUCUGCAAAACUUUGGAGGAGUAAACAUGUCACUAGUCCUCACGUGGGGCAUAUUUUACUUCCAGUGGAUGGUUUUCUUUUCAUCUGUUCCUAUGGAAAAGAAAAGCAUCACAGGCCUGACGUCUAUGUAUGUGCGAUUCGCACACAUACGUCUGUGCUGGCAUCUCUGCGUAUCUGCAUGCAGUUCGCCUCUCCCUCCCUGUCCCCGGGACGGGUGGCAGCCUCACCCUUUGUUUCCUGCUGCUCCUCACCUGGGCGUUUGCCCAUUCGGACCUGCAGUUCUGCAAUUCCAAGCCCGCAGUUCUUCAGCUCCCACGCUUCCCUUAUUCCUUGAAUAAGGCUGGGCUACGAGAUCUCAGUGCUCUGUGAGCACGUUGGCCUCAGGACACUCUGCAGGGCCCUGGCAGAGCAGCUCCCGAGGCUCGCUGUCUGCCAUGGAAGUGGGUGUGUGGCUGAACAUGUGGCUCCAGGAUUCCAGAGGUGCCCGGUGGACCUUCCAGCUGAGGGACCUGGGACCCUCUGCCUCCCACAGGUGCCGUGGCCCGCCCCUGAGCCUGUCACUGUCUCUCAGUUCUGGGCUUGGGCUCCUCAUGGGAGCGGCCCUGCUGGGACAGUGUUUUCCCAAGACGCCCCUGAGCCCUUGCCCUGGCCGCUCCGUGACACCCCAUGCAGACUCCAACAGAGGCUUAGUGCCUCUUCCUGCUGGGGUCCCACGGAUGGUGCAGGCGGAGGCCAGAGUGCUCCUGGUGCUCGUGGGCACCGGCUCAGCAGCCCCGCGUGGCCCACGUUGCUCAGUGUCUUUCCUCGCCUUGCAGAGGGGCGUGAAGCACAAGGCUCCAGUCCAGGCCACACAGAGCAGCGACGGGCCCCUCCUGAAGGACCUCCUACGGCGGCCAAGGCGCAGUUAGCUCCAUGCUAGAGCCCAGGCUACCAGAGCACCUGUCCCUCGGCCGCCUGGUACAGCUCCUGCUCUCAGCAGGUGACGCUCGCGGCCUGGAAGGGGAAGGUGUCCGUGGAGCCCCCACCCACCCUCAGCGGUUCCUGUCACCACUGCAGUUCCAGCCCGAGUCACAGCUGCCCUGGGACCCGCGUGCAGAUGCUUGUGUGAUGGAUGGUUCUAAGCCUGUGGAGACCGCACACGCCUCUUCCCGGCCCCCAGGAGGCAAGGAGGGGGGUCACAGGCCUUGCC